ACCCUUGAAUAUCUCUAACCCCUGAUCCACUGGGGAGGCUGAUUUGAGUAAUAAUAAACCUCUGUCCUCCUGUUUGGCAGACUUGGAGUCGUUAAAAUCUUUCUUGACUAGAAACCAACAUUUCAAUAAUUUUUUUUUUUUUUUUUUUUUUUUUUUUUUUUGUGCAGGAGGCCAGAAGAACUUGCCUGGCAAUUAUGAGUGGAUGGAGGAACUGCCUAUCCCUGUCCCAUUGUCUUGUCCACAGGUCAGCCUCACAAAGGGAAAGAGCCCUGGAUGGGAAUACAGUGGAAGCUCAUUCUCUUAGUGACCUGGGGACAUUGGCUCGAGAUGAAGCCUGGCAGGAGUGGCAACUCCAGGUGAAAAGCUUGGUGAAAGAUUUUAAGGACUUCCCAUUGGCUGAAGGCUGGCAAAUGGAGUUUGCUAUCCUCUGACUGCAGCCAUUCUGAGGACUGGAAAGAAUACCCUGAGAAGGGGCCUAUUUUAUUUCUGCAGGAAG
Molecule: long non-coding RNA, 496 nt
Filed under: Homo sapiens (human)
Lineage: Eukaryota; Metazoa; Chordata; Mammalia; Primates; Hominidae
Description: non-protein coding lnc-CD177-5:3
Source: RNAcentral